Molecule: long non-coding RNA, 1248 nt
Filed under: Gouania willdenowi (blunt-snouted clingfish)
Lineage: Eukaryota; Metazoa; Chordata; Actinopteri; Blenniiformes; Gobiesocidae
Description: lncRNA (ENSGWIG00000019518.1)
Source: RNAcentral
UUUUCUUAGACCUUUAGUCAUAGUUGGCUACACAUGGCUAACCAAGGCUACGUUUGAGCGACUUCCCCUGGUAUCGCUACAUAUUUCAGAGGCCAGCAAAACACAUUUUUUGACUAAUGCUGUCAGCGUUGAACCCACCGCUAACUAAAAAUGUCCUCCAAUGGGGUUUUUGAUCCUUGACGUCUUAUUGUUUGGUCCUCUUCAGAGCCGUUGGAGCCUUUCAAGAGAUACACCCUCACUCUGCACACGCGAACAAACAAUGAAACUUGUAACAUGGUUCAUAUCAACAACAGCGAGAGCACCUACGGGAGCAAACCAUUCUAUUUCAUUGAAGGGUGUAAGUCAGUAACUGACACAGUAACUUUCUAUAGUUUGUCGGCUUCUUACAUUUACUUUCCAACAGCACCUGUCAGUGCUCCUACAAACGUCAGCGUCUCAAAUGUGACGCUGACCUCGGCGCUGCUGUUCUGGACUUCCAUCCCAGAGGAAGACACCAGAGGUUUCCUGCUUGGUUACAUAAUCUAUUAUAAGAAGUACGACCACAAAAAGACCAGCACUGAAAACAACGUCACCGUGGAUCCGUCCCUGAAUGUCUAUGAACUGGAAAAUCUCCAAAGUGGGACACCGUACCAAGUCCAGAUAUCGGGUUUCACUUCUGGAGGAACCGGAGUUCGAAGCACAGCAAGCUUCUUUAAGACAAACCUUAAAGCAAAUGUUCACAUCGGAGGUAUCAUCGGAGUCUUUGCAUUUGUUAUUCUUGUGACGUUUGGAUCCCCACUCAUAAAAAGAGCAAAGACGGUCCUGUGGCCGAGUAUUCCCAACCCUGGAAACAGCGAUACGAUGCAGAAAAUCUUUGAACAGGCACAUCUUGAGGCUAUUGGUACGCUAACGGUUGAGGAAUGGCACUCAGGAAUUCUCCAGGUUCUCCAACGUUCUGAUAUAGAAGAUCACACUGAAGCAUCAUGUAGUGGAAACCAAGAGGAAGCUGAGAACGUGACUGGAGAAGAGUCACGUGAAGACAAUGGUGAUGUUUUCUUCCUGGAUACCAAACAGACAAAUGUCCAAAGUUCUACAUGUGCCUUGGUGAGUGGAUACACCACAAUGGAGAUGUUUCAGCAGGGCAUGAGUACGAUCCCCACAGAGAGAACACAGCAUUUUCAGAGCAAAGCAGAACACGACGAGUCCUCUGGGUCCAAGCAGAGACUGGACUACGUCAGACAGUUCAGUGAAAAGUCCACAGUCCAGUGA